RNAcentral lists this ribosomal RNA (508 nucleotides) under uncultured bacterium. Its description in RNAcentral is "bacterial SSU rRNA". It matches the Rfam family "Bacterial small subunit ribosomal RNA", at positions 35 to 518 of the family's 1533-position model. The record is from RNAcentral.
ACAACGGCUGGCGGCAUGCCUAAUACAUGCAAGUCGAGCGAAUGAAUGAAGAAGCUUGCUUCUCUGAUUUAGCGGCGGACGGGUGAGUAACACGUGGGCAACCUACCCUAUAGAUUGGGAUAACACAGGGAAACCUGUGCUAAUACCGAAUAAUACCUUUCUCUUCAUGGAGGAUGGUUGAAAGAUGGUUUCGGCUAUCACUAUAGGAUGGGCCCGCGGCGCAUUAGCUAGUUGGUGAGGUAAUGGCUCACCAAGGCAACGAUGCGUAGCCGACCUGAGAGGGUGAUCGGCCACACUGGGACUGAGACACGGCCCAGACUCCUACGGGAGGCAGCAGUAGGGAAUCUUCCACAAUGGGCGAAAGCCUGAUGGAGCAAUGCCGCGUGAGUGAUGAAGGAUUUCGGUUCGUAAAACUCUGUUGUAAGGGAAGAACAAGUAGCGUAGUAACUGGCGUUACCUUGACGGUACCUUAUUAGAAAGCCACGGCUAACUACGUGCCAGCAGCCGC